This is a non-coding RNA of Schistocerca serialis cubense, 73 nucleotides long. The record is from the annotation of a RefSeq genome assembly. NCBI's taxonomy places the organism in Eukaryota, Metazoa, Arthropoda, Insecta, Orthoptera, Acrididae.
GCCGAAAUAGCCCAUUUGGGAGAGCUUUAGACUGAAGAUCUAAAGGUCCGUGGUUCGAUUCCGCGUUUCGGCA